Molecule: non-coding RNA, 91 nt
Organism: Pleomassaria siparia CBS 279.74
Lineage: Eukaryota; Fungi; Ascomycota; Dothideomycetes; Pleosporales; Pleomassariaceae
Source: the annotation of a GenBank genome assembly
GCCUGUUUGGCUAAGUGGUAAAGCGUCGCACUUGUAACAUAAUUAAAGUAUGUACAUGCGAAGAUCCUCGGUUCGAUUCCGAGAAUAGGCA